Non-coding RNA from Picea glauca (white spruce), 118 nucleotides. The record is from Rfam. NCBI's taxonomy places the organism in Eukaryota, Viridiplantae, Streptophyta, Pinopsida, Pinales, Pinaceae.
AUGUAAAUUCCUACCAUGUCAAUCCAUCAUAUCCCAUUAGAACUCUAUAGUUAAGCGCUCUUGAGCUAGAGUAGUACUAGGAUGAGUGACCUCUCGGGAAGUCAUAGUGUUUUAGAUG